Molecule: non-coding RNA, 670 nt
Organism: Salvelinus sp. IW2-2015
Lineage: Eukaryota; Metazoa; Chordata; Actinopteri; Salmoniformes; Salmonidae
Source: RefSeq, a predicted model, not a curated record
CUCGCCCUCUUAUCCUCCACCUAUCCUCUCCAGUUGGAACAGGAAGAACAACCCAGAGCCUUGGAACACAUACGGUCCAGACGAUCAGUACAAGUUGGUGGCCGUCAAUAUGGACUACAAGGCUCUGAAGAAGGAGGGCCCUGACUUCUAAAGGUCCUUCAGGCAACUCCAGGAGCACCGAGUUUGGCAGGACCUCCUGUCAUCCUAGUGGCAGGGUCGGGGCAGCCUGAGCCUCGGUCGGGUCCUCUGUCUGUCCCCUCUGCUGUCUCUUCAGAAUGCACAACAUUUCAUUAUAACUGUCUUUUCGUGCACUAACCUACAGUUAUAGAAGCAAUUGUCUCCAUGUGCACCAAAAAAUACUGUUAUUAUAACCUACCUGUCUCUUCAGACACCACACUACAGUGUAAAUCUCUUCAUGUAUAAAAACCCUAUAGAGAUGUAAUGUAACAGGCUCUUUCACUUUCACAAACCCUACAGUUAUUAGAACCUGUCUCUUCACAACGCACAACAGCGCUCUUAUAUAUCAGUCUCUUUUUUAUUUUCAGCAACAACAACCCUAAAGUGAUGUAUCCUUCUUCAUGCCUCUACCCUGAUGUUACAUAACUGUCUCUUAACGCUACCUUGAAAACAACACUAUUAAACAUCAGGCAAAGAGGUCUGGUUACGUUGA